RNA transcript from Varroa destructor (honeybee mite), 5747 nucleotides. It is a transcript of the gene named protein argonaute-1, with no coding region annotated. Lineage: Eukaryota; Metazoa; Arthropoda; Arachnida; Mesostigmata; Varroidae. The record is from RefSeq and is a predicted model, not a curated record.
UCCGUUCUACUUUGGCCGCUGUUGGCGGGAGGCCGCCAUCAUAAGAUAGCUAUGGUCAUCGUCCUUUCUUCCUUUCCCUCCGUGCACUGGCUGGCGAUCGUUGUCGUCUGCAAACAUGUGUGUCUGGGUUACGUGAACGAUAUAUGCUACAGGCAACGACUGUGACUGGUUCUGAGUGGCGCUUGCAGCGCUUUGAAAGGGCUAGGCAGUAACGAGCGCACGUUCGUUUUCCUUGUCGCUGUUCAGCUAUAUCAGUCAGCCAACCAGCUAGGUAAGCGCGCUCUGUCUGGUGAGUGACCCGGCCAUACUAAGCUCCUCGUUGGCGGCCGUUUUCGUGAGAGCCUCCACAUUUAGCCGUCGUCGUCGUCGUCGUCGUCGUCGUCGUCGUCGUCGCCGCCGCCGCCGCGAACCACCACCGCCGCCACCGGCACUGCCACUGCCAUCGCCGGUGCCUCUGCCGCCAACGACGAAAACGAAGUAUCACAGGCCCAUAAACUGCUGUCACUGCUGGGACGGCGUAAAGACGGCAGGAGAAGCAAGAACAAAAAGAGAACUGCUGUUAGAAGACCUGUGUGUACGGGACGGAUACGGGCGCCUGUAAGUAGUGUGUGCGGUUCCUGUGCCCGGUUGUUCGCUUGGUUGUGUCGUCUCGCCGCCGCCGCUGCUGCUGCCGCCGCUGCAUCGACAGGACGUGUGUUGUUUGGUCGUGUGCUCCUGUGAGGGCGCUAGUUGUAUCGGUCGCUACCGGCGGCGCUGCUGUUGCUGCUGCUACUACUUCCACUGUGAGAUGACUUGGCGAGUGUCGCCUGGUUAGCGGGCGUUGUGUGCUCUGCUGCGGCAGCAGGAUCAUCAUCAUAAUCACGAUCACCAUCAUCUCCACCAUCAUAUCGCCGUAGAGUAGCGCAGUGCAAGUGGCCACAGCAGCAGCAAUAGUAGUAGUAGUAGUAGUAGUAGCAGUAGUCGAGAGGCAGUUUGGGCGGCUGCUUACUGACUGGACGAGAGAGUUUGUUCGUCCGUCCGUCCGUCUGGCUGUGUGUCGUGGUCCUGCUGCCGGCCGAGGGAGGUCCUGUCUCGUCGCUGUCUGCCUUUUGCUGCUGUGAGUGGUAGCAUCGAGCCUGUUCGCCCUACCGAACCGGUCGCAGUAUAGCUGCUGCGAGUGUUGCUGGUGUUACAACAGCGCUGCAACGGCACCACCCGCCGUCACCAAUAGCACCAUCAAUAAAUACGACCAAGAUCACAGCAACAAGCACCGGCAGCACACACAGGGUUUAAUAAUCACGGAUUUGUGUUCGCUAGAAGAGCCGUACCAAGGGAAAUUUUAAGUAGAUUCAGCUAGUCUGCUGAUGCUGCUAAUACUGCUGCUGGAUCGACAGAUUCACACAAAGAACACGCACAGUACGUGUGAAAGAAAACGAGGUCAUACGAGACUUCAGUAGUUGUGUUGCGAUCGAGGAUUGGUGGCUGUGUGGACUAGCGGCAAGCAAAAACGAUUUUGCUAUUUUCACGUAAGGUCAAUCAAUCGGACUGAGUGCGACGAAUGCUGUUGUCACAUUUGUGAACGCGACAGGCAACGAUCGUUAACGGAUACGAACCAAGUAACGUAGCGAAGCGAAGCAGAGGAGCGGAAGUACGUUAAGGUUUUAUCUUGCUGAAGGGUUAGGCUCAGCUUGUUGGAUACGGUGCUUGUGAAUCUGUUGGCCCGACCCUUCCAAGAGAAAGAGCGCUUGAGAGGCAAUCAACUGCGCAAAGAAUACGGGAACCUCAAGCCUCGCUUAAUGAGAUAUUGUGUGACUGUGUUCGCCGCGUGUGUUUGUAAUUCGAAAAAUCGUGCAGCUCUUCAUUAUUCUGCACGAAACACGAAAGACCUGGUGGUCUUCACUGCAGGCGUUGCACCAACAACAAUCUGAUUCACAGCGAUUGACCGUAUCUAACAUCCAUUCAACUAACUACCAUGUAUCCCAUCGGCCAGCAUAUCUCUGACGUAUUGACUGACAGGGAUCUGAUCGAAGGAUGCUAUUGGCCAUUAUCAGACAGCUGCGGAGUAAACAAACUUCGUCUUUGAUAUCUUUUGAGUUUCAUAUCUGCGCAUCUUUCGGCUGCAUCUAGGCGCAAGCAUUUGGCGGGCCGAACAUUAACGAUGGAGAAAAACCAGCGGGUGGUCCAGUGACCCCCGGUGGUGCAUUAGGCGCUAUGGGAGCGCCGGGCACUCAGCUUCCAGUGGCACGACCUCAGGGUCCUCUUUCACCGCCUGGUAGUGCUGUGGUCCCGCUCAAUGUCGGCAUGGGAGCGCCGCCGCCUCCACCCUCGGAACUCAACUUCGUCUGCCCACGCAGACCUAACGUCGGCACCGAAGGUCGGCCAAUUAUGCUGCGUGCCAACCACUUCCAGAUUACAAUGCCCCGUGGCUACCUACAUCACUACGAUGUCACAAUCACCCCGGACAAAUGCCCGCGUAAAGUAAAUCGUGAAAUCAUCGAGACAAUGGUGCAGUCUUGCUCAAAAAUCUUCGGUAACCAAAAGCCCGUAUUUGAUGGCCGUAAAAAUAUGUACACAAGAGAUGAUCUUCCUAUUGGAAAAGAUAAGGUAGAGCUUGAAGUAACCCUUCCGGGCGAGGGCAAAGACCGAGUGUUUCGCGUAGCAAUCAAAUGGAUGGCUCAAGUGAGCCUGUACGGUCUUGAAGAAGCCCUAGAAGGGCGAUCUCGUAACAUCCCACUAGACGCUAUUCAGGCUAUGGAUGUGGUGAUGCGCCAUCUACCUUCCAUGACGUAUACACCAGUUGGUCGUUCCUUCUUCAGUACUCCAGAAGGCUAUUUUCAUCCACUGGGUGGUGGCCGUGAAGUGUGGUUUGGUUUCCAUCAGUCUGUUCGGCCCUCGCAAUGGAAGAUGAUGCUCAAUAUCGAUGUAUCAGCAACGGCCUUCUACAAGGCACAGCCAGUCAUCGAGUUCAUGUGCGAAGUACUCGAGCUUCGAGAGCCAGCCGAACAACGGCGGGUGCUCACCGAUUCACAGCGUGUGAAGUUCACCAAAGAGAUCAAGGGGCUCAAGAUUGAGAUUACGCAUUGCGGGUCAAUGCGCCGCAAAUAUCGUGUUUGCAACGUUACGCGUCGACCCGCCCAACUACAGUCGUUCCCGCUGCAGCUCGAGAAUGGCCAAACGGUAGAGUGUACCGUGGCUAAAUAUUUUCUUGAUAAGUACAAGAUGAAGUUGCGCUACCCGCAUUUCCCAUGCUUGCAGGUGGGCCAAGAACACAAGCAUACAUACCUCCCGUUGGAGGUGUGUAAUGUGGUGGCUGGACAGCGCUGCAUCAAGAAGCUCACCGACCUACAGACUUCGACGAUGAUCAAGGCAACCGCCCGUUCCGCGCCGGACCGUGAACGUGAGAUCAAUAACCUCGUUCGCAAGGCCGACUUCAACAAGGAUCCCUAUGUGCAGGAGUUUGGUCUGUCUAUCGCGCAUACUAUGAUGGAGGUUCGUGGGAGGGUGCUGCCUCCGCCAAAGCUGCAGUACGGUGGACGCACCAAAGCUCUGGCGUUGCCCAACAGCGGCGUGUGGGACAUGCGUGGCAAACAGUUCCACACCGGUGUCGAGAUCCGUAUAUGGGCUAUCGCGUGCUUUGCCCCACAGCGGGGCUGCCGCGAGGAUGCCCUACGCAGUUUUACGCAACAGCUGCAGAAAAUAUCGAGCGAUGCUGGCAUGCCGAUUAUCGGUCAGCCGUGUUUCUGCAAAUAUGCCUCUGGCCCCGAUCAGGUAGAACCAAUGUUCCGCUACCUGAAAACGACGUUUCAGGGCUUACAGCUGGUGGUCGUCGUGCUGCCAGGCAAGACACCAGUGUACGCCGAAGUCAAACGCGUCGGCGACACCGUGCUCGGUAUGGCUACGCAAUGCGUGCAGGCGAAAAACGUUAACAAAACAUCACCGCAGACCCUCUCCAACCUAUGCCUAAAGAUCAAUGUCAAACUCGGUGGCAUCAACUCAAUCCUUGUACCGUCUAUCCGGCCAAAAGUGUUCAACGAGCCUGUCAUUUUCUUCGGAUGUGACGUUACUCACCCACCUGCUGGGGACAAUAAAAAACCUUCGAUUGCCGCUGUCGUAGGAUCGAUGGAUGCUCAUCCGUCCCGGUAUGCGGCCACUGUACGAGUACAGCAACAUCGACAAGAAAUUAUUCAGGAUCUCGCUUCGAUGGUCAAGGAACUUCUAAUACAGUUCUAUCGAUCAACGCGCUUCAAACCGAAUCGAAUAAUUUUUUACCGGGACGGAGUAUCGGAAGGCCAGUUCCACCAAGUUCUGCACCACGAGCUAAUCGCCAUUCGGUCUGCUUGCCUACAGUUGGAGUAUGAUUAUAAGCCAGGAAUCACCUUAAUAGUAGUCCAGAAACGCCACCACACUCGUCUUUUCUGCGCAGACCGCAAAGAGCAGAUGGGAAAAUCAGGCAAUAUUCCUGCUGGCACGACGGUCGAUGUAGGUAUCACGCACCCAACCGAGUUUGAUUUCUACCUUUGUUCUCAUGCCGGUAUCCAGGGCACAUCGCGACCUUCGCACUAUCAUGUGCUCUGGGACGACAAUCAGUUCACAGCCGACGAACUGCAGUGUCUCACCUACCAAUUGUGUCACACGUAUGUACGUUGUACACGCUCAGUAUCAAUUCCAGCGCCUGCGUACUACGCUCAUCUGGUAGCGUUCCGUGCACGAUACCAUCUCGUCGAGAAAGAGCACGACAGUGGCGACGGGAGUCACCAUUCAACAAACGGAGACGACAAUAAUCCUAUCGCUUUGGCACGGGCAGUUGCUGUUCAUAUGAAUACCAUGAAAGUCAUGUAUUUCGCCUAGAUUUUGUCGACAACAUUAAAAAAGAUCUUUUAAGAUGAGCAAUACUUUUAUUUGUGUUUCGGGGUGGGGUUCGUAAAGGACAUAAAGUUAAAAGAAGAUCUGCUAUAUUGUGAAUUGUGAAUGGCAGCAACAAAGACCAUUUCUAGCAAGAAUACCAAGAAUUACUUUACAUUCUACUGCUAUUUACUAUCGAAGAAAACUAAAGCAAUCAUAAAAUUUCGAGACUCUCACAACUUCCCGUUCACCGGUCGGAAGUUCGUUUCCAGCGAUACAUGUUCAAAUAGCUCCACUUCAACCGACGCAGUUCGGUGAGCGUUGGCGCCACCGUCGCAAGCCGCCAAGAGCCAUAGCUACAUCUAAUGACUGCCCGAAUAGUAGCUCGAUGCUGUUGAUUCAUCGGCGCGACCUAUCGAUUCCUCGUUAAAUCAACCUGUACUACAGCUAUAAUUUUUUAAUAUAAAUUUAAUAGUAAUGAAGACAUUCGAAGAAGAUAUCGACGAACCGAUGUAUUUAUAUAACGGCGUUGAGACGCCUUCGAUACCACUAUGCAGAGAAAGAACAUAUAGGGAACAAAGAGCCUGAGUGGAUGCCCGCGAUAUGUAAGAUGCCCAAGAAAGCUGGCAACUGAAUAGACCGACGUUCCGCUCGAGUGAACUGAUAACAAAUAACGUCGAACGGGUAAAUAAAUCGAUGAACCUCCUGUGAGUGAAUCCCACCAUAGCCAAUCACAAAGACAAAUGACUACAACUAAAGAAGAAACAUCAAGAAACGUCAGCUACCACUUAUUGACUCCAUAUCACCGUUAACAUCGUUUCCUAGGCUGAUUACCAGUAUAUGCGGCGAGGGGAGCCACCAGUCGUCGAACGGAGAUGAUCGAACGGUGGUGGCACUGGCUCGUGCAGUCACGGUGCAUCCCGAAA